GAUGAAGAACGCAGCGAAAUGCGAUAAGUAAUGUGAAUUGCAGAAUUCAGUGAAUCAUCGAAUCUUUGAACGCACCUUGCGCCUUUUGGUAUUCCGAAAGGCACACCUGUUUGAGCGUCAUGAAUACCUCAAUCUCCAUCUUUUCUUCGGAUUGAUGGGUGACUUGGAUGUUGAGCCCUGCUGGUAUGCUAUAUCAGCUGGCUUUAAACUUAUUAGCCGGCUCUGUACUGGAUCGGUUUGACUCGACGUGAUAAUAUUAUCGUUGAGGAUGCAUGUCUCAUGCAGCCGGAAAGUAUCAAAGCAGCUUCUAGCUUGCCUUUAGUGCACUUUUACAUUUUAGACCUCAGAUCGGGUGGGACUACCCGCUGAACUUAAGCAUAUCAAUAAGCGGAGGA
Molecule: unclassified non-coding RNA, 395 nt
Filed under: soil metagenome
Description: partial contains 5.8S ribosomal RNA, internal transcribed spacer 2, and large subunit ribosomal RNA
Rfam family: 5.8S ribosomal RNA (bases 1-120)
Source: RNAcentral